Molecule: long non-coding RNA, 282 nt
Filed under: Mytilus galloprovincialis (Mediterranean mussel)
Lineage: Eukaryota; Metazoa; Mollusca; Bivalvia; Mytilida; Mytilidae
Source: RNAcentral
AUGUCAGAUUUGCUCUAAAUGCUUUGGUUUUUGAGUUAUAAGCCAAAAACUGCAUUUUACCCCUAUGUUCUAUUUUUAGCCAUGGCAGCCAUCUUGGUUGGUUGGCGGGGUCACGCCACACAUUUUUUUAAACUAGAUACCCCAAUGAUGAUUGUGGCCAAGUUUGGUUAAAUUUGGCCCAGUAGUUCCAGAGGAGAAGAUUUUUGUAAAAGUUAACAACGACGACGGACGCAAAGUGAUGGGAAAAGCUCACUUGGCCCUUCGGGCCAGGUGAGCUAAAAA